AUUUAUGGAGAGUUUGAUCCUGGCUCAGGACGAACGCUGGCGGCGUGCUUAACACAUGCAAGUU
RNAcentral lists this ribosomal RNA (64 nucleotides) under Aminobacterium colombiense. RNAcentral describes it as "partial 16S ribosomal RNA". It matches the Rfam family "Bacterial small subunit ribosomal RNA", at positions 1 to 63 of the family's 1533-position model. Lineage: Bacteria; Thermotogati; Synergistota; Synergistia; Synergistales; Aminobacteriaceae. The record is from RNAcentral.